CAGCCGCCGCGGUAAUACGGAGGGUGCAAGCGUUAAUCGGAAUUACUGGGCGUAAAGCGCACGUAGGUGGUUCGCCAAGUUGGAUGUGAAAUCCCCGGGCUCAACCUGGGAACUGCAUCCAAAACUGGCGAGCUAGAGUAUGGUAGAGGGUGGUGGAAUUUCCUGUGUAGCGGUGAAAUGCGUAGAUAUAGGAAGGAACAUCAGUGGCGAAGGCGACCACCUGGACUGAUACUGACACUGAGGUGCGAAAGCGUGGGGAGCAAACAGGAUUAGAUACCCCUGUAGUCCCUGUCUCUUAUAU
RNAcentral lists this ribosomal RNA (301 nucleotides) under uncultured bacterium. RNAcentral's name for it is "partial 16S ribosomal RNA". It matches the Rfam family "Bacterial small subunit ribosomal RNA", at positions 509 to 809 of the family's 1533-position model. The record is from RNAcentral.